Molecule: small RNA, 110 nt
Filed under: Allomuricauda sp.
Lineage: Bacteria; Pseudomonadati; Bacteroidota; Flavobacteriia; Flavobacteriales; Flavobacteriaceae
Description: 6S RNA
Rfam family: 6S-Flavo RNA
Source: RNAcentral
ACUCAACGCUAUUAUAAUUCAAAAGGGUGAGUUUAGGCUGUAAAAGCAGGCCCUACUUGCAUAGGGAUCCUUGAUCAGUCUGUUAACCCUAAACCUGUAAUCAGGAGUUU